RNAcentral lists this ribosomal RNA (253 nucleotides) under uncultured bacterium. RNAcentral describes it as "partial 16S ribosomal RNA". It matches the Rfam family "Bacterial small subunit ribosomal RNA", at positions 524 to 776 of the family's 1533-position model. The record is from RNAcentral.
UACGUAGGGGGCAAGCGUUGUCCGGAAUCAUUGGGCGUAAAGAGCGUGUAGGCGGCCUGCAUAGUCUGGUGUGAAAUCUCGGGGCUCAACCCCGAGCGGUCACUGGAUACUGGCAGGCUUGAGUCUGGAAGAGGAGUGUGGAAUUCCUGGUGUAGCGGUGAAAUGCGUAGAUAUCUGGAGGAACACCGGUGGCGAAGGCGACAUCCUGGACCGGUAUUGACGCUGAGGCGCGAAAGCCAGGGGAGCAAACGGG